GAUGAACGCUGGCGGCGUGCUUAACACAUGCAAGUCGAACGGAAAGGCCCAAGCUUGCUUGGGUACUCGAGUGGCGAACGGGUGAGUAACACGUGGGUGAUCUGCCCUGCACUUCGGGAUAAGCCUGGGAAACUGGGUCUAAUACCGGAUAGGACGAUGGUUUGGUUGCCAUUGUGGAAAGUUUUUUCGGUGUGGGAUGAGCUCGCGGCCUAUCAGCUUGUUGGUGGGGUAAUGGCCUACCAAGGCGUCGACGGGUAGCCGGCCUGAGAGGGUGUACGGCCACAUUGGGACUGAGAUACGGCCCAGACUCCUACGGGAGGCAGCAGUGGGGAAUAUUGCACAAUGGGCGCAAGCCUGAUGCAGCGACGCCGCGUGGGGGAUGACGGCCUUCGGGUUGUAAACUCCUUUCGCUAGGGACGAAGCGUUUUUGUGACGGUACCUGGAGAAGAAGCACCGGCUAACUACGUG
This 468-nucleotide ribosomal RNA is filed under the name uncultured bacterium. Its description in RNAcentral is "partial 16S ribosomal RNA". It matches the Rfam family "Bacterial small subunit ribosomal RNA", at positions 28 to 507 of the family's 1533-position model. The record is from RNAcentral.